GAGGUUAAGCGACUAAGCGUACACGGUGGAUGCCCUGGCAGUCAGAGGCGAUGAAGGGCGUGCUAAUCUGCGAUAAGCGCCGGUAAGGUGAUAUGAACCGUUAUAACCGGCGAUACCCGAAUGGGGAAACCCAGUGUGACUCGUCACACUAUCAUUAACUGAAUCCAUAGGUUAAUGAGGCGAACCGGGGGAACUGAAACAUCUAAGUACCCCGAGGAAAAGAAAUCAACCGAGAUUCCCCCAGUAGCGGCGAGCGAACGGGGAGGAGCCCAGAGCCUGAAUCAGCAUGUGUGUUAGUGGAAGCGUCUGGAAAGGCGCGCGAUACAGGGUGACAGCCCCGUACACAAAAGCGCAUGUGCUGUGAGCUCGAUGAGUAGGGCGGGACACGUGGUAUCCUGUCUGAAUAUGGGGGGACCAUCCUCCAAGGCUAAAUACUCCUGACUGACCGAUAGUGAACCAGUACCGUGAGGGAAAGGCGAAAAGAACCCCGGCGAGGGGAGUGAAAAAGAACCUGAAACCGUGUACGUACAAGCAGUGGGAGCCCCACCACCAAAGCAUUUGCUGUACCGCGUUGACGGAGCGAAGCGACGUCAAACCGAUAAAACAGCAGUGUAAAGUGAGCCGCAGGGCGCUUUGCGCGACAGCGCAAAGGCAGGCGGUUUCGCGUAGCGAAAGCGAAUGCUUUGGGGUGGGGUGACUGCGUACCUUUUGUAUAAUGGGUCAGCGACUUAUAUUCUGUAGCAAGGUUAACCGAAUAGGGGAGCCGGAGGGAAACCGAGUCUUAAUUGGGCGUUAAGUUGCAGGGUAUAGACCCGAAACCCGGUGAUCUAGCCAUGGGCAGGUUGAAGGUUGGGUAACACUAACUGGAGGACCGAACCGACUAAUGUUGAAAAAUUAGCGGAUGACCUGUGGCUGGGGGUGAAAGGCCAAUCAAACCGGGAGAUAGCUGGUUCUCCCCGAAAGCUAUUUAGGUAGCGCCUCGUGAAUUCAUCUCCGGGGGUAGAGCACUGUUUCGGCUAGGGGGCCAUCCCGGCUUACCAACCCGAUGCAAACUGCGAAUACCGGAGAAUGUUAUCACGGGAGACACACGGCGGGUGCUAACGUCCGUCGUGAAGAGGGAAACAACCCAGACCGCCAGCUAAGGUCCCAAAGUCAUGGUUAAGUGGGAAACGAUGUGGGAAGGCCCAGACAGCCAGGAUGUUGGCUUAGAAGCAGCCAUCAUUUAAAGAAAGCGUAAUAGCUCACUGGUCGAGUCGGCCUGCGCGGAAGAUGUAACGGGGCUAAACCAUGCACCGAAGCUGCGGCAGCGACACUGUGUGUUGUUGGGUAGGGGAGCGUUCUGUAAGCCUGUGAAGGUGUGUCGUGAGGCAUGCUGGAGGUAUCAGAAGUGCGAAUGCUGACAUAAGUAACGAUAAAGCGGGUGAAAAGCCCGCUCGCCGGAAGACCAAGGGUUCCUGUCCAACGUUAAUCGGGGCAGGGUGAGUCGACCCCUAAGGCGAGGCCGAAAGGCGUAGUCGAUGGGAAACGGGUUAAUAUUCCCGUACUUGGUGUUACUGCGAAGGGGGGACGGAGAAGGCUAUGUUGGCCGGG
This 1590-nucleotide ribosomal RNA is filed under the name Salmonella enterica subsp. enterica serovar Enteritidis. RNAcentral's name for it is "partial 23S ribosomal RNA". It matches the Rfam family "Bacterial large subunit ribosomal RNA", at positions 1 to 1495 of the family's 2925-position model. Lineage: Bacteria; Pseudomonadati; Pseudomonadota; Gammaproteobacteria; Enterobacterales; Enterobacteriaceae. The record is from RNAcentral.